Molecule: non-coding RNA, 1370 nt
Organism: Punica granatum (pomegranate)
Lineage: Eukaryota; Viridiplantae; Streptophyta; Magnoliopsida; Myrtales; Lythraceae
Source: RefSeq, a predicted model, not a curated record
UUGGUCCAGACGCUUCUCUGUUCGGGCGAAAAAGAAGAAACAGAGAGAGAGAGAGAGAGAGAGAGAGAGGGAGAGAGUGAACGAGAAAGAUGGAGAGCUCGAGAUGAAGGUCAAGGGAAGUUUAGCUUGGAAUGGAAUAUGGAAAAUAGUAGAGAUGGAGAGUGAACAAGCAAUAGCCAGAGCCCGAGCUUGAGCUAGAUAAAGAGGUAGACAAAUGAAAGAGCCAAGGAUGGGAAAGUCGCAGGUCGGCGGUGGAUAAAACCAAAUAGAGAGGGGAACGAGGCAGAGAAGAUUGAGGGUAGAUUGAGAUAGGGAAGCUGGAGAGCACCGCGAGGAAGACCUUGACAUGGUGAUCCGUUAUUGAUUGGUUUUGGAGAGAAUACUGAUGGUGGGUAGAACGACUAGAAGAAGCUGAUUAUAUUAGCUUCCUAAGCUUAUGACUUAUACUCUACCUUGUCCAUGGGACUGCUUGCUUGUCAAAGAGAUGUCAAAUCUCAGGUUCGUGAAGGUGUGUGUGGAUGGGAUUCCCAUAGGCAGGAAGGUGGACUUGAAUGCUCACUCAAGCUACGAGACUCUAGCACAAGCAAUAGAAGACAUGUUCUUUGGACCCACCAGUUCAAUUGAUAAUCUUUUGAGGUGUUAGACUUUUACGUCUGAAAUCCAUGUGAAGGUGGUUGAGAGAAGGAACAAGUUAAUCGACCAUCUAAGCUUCUUGAUGGAUCGUCCGAUUUUGUGCUGACUUAUGAAGAUAAACAGGGAGACAAGAUGCUUGUGGGAGAUGUCCCUUGGAGGAUGUUCCUCAGCUCAGUGAUAAGGCUCAGAAUCAUGAGAACCUCUGAGGCUAAUGGACUCGCAACGGGAUUCCAAGAAAGGAACCAGAUGCUGAAAAGAAAGCCCAUAUAGUACCACCACAGCCUUCUACAUUCCUUCGCUUGGAAACGACGAUGAGGAGUGGUCACUCUAAAGAAUGGGAAAUCAAAGGUAGAGAAGUUGGCAAUGUCGAGUUUUUUUGUCCUUAUUAUCUUUGUUCGGUUUACCUUUUCUGUUUCAUGGAUCCGCUUCUGGUUCUGGAUGCCUUUUUGGGUUCUUUUUGUCACGUAGUCAUGUUAGUUUUUCUUAUUUUUGGUCAUAUCAAAGUUCUUUUUGUUAUUCCAUAUAGUGAUAUUGGCAACGGGCCUUGCAUCCUGUGGAGAAUGCUGCUCCUUCUCAUACUGUAUAUAUGAGAGUAUUUUUCCUCAUUACAGUGCUUGAGUCUGCUCCAAUUUCGUGGAAAUUUGGAAUUGAGCCUUUGUUCCUUUGUGUGUGGUUGGAUGGUUUUGGUAUUUGGUUUGGUUUUCCUUAUUCAUGGGAGGACCGAGUCUGUAAUUUCA